This 619-nucleotide ribosomal RNA is filed under the name Escherichia coli. RNAcentral's name for it is "partial 23S ribosomal RNA". It matches the Rfam family "Bacterial large subunit ribosomal RNA", at positions 1293 to 1897 of the family's 2925-position model. Lineage: Bacteria; Pseudomonadati; Pseudomonadota; Gammaproteobacteria; Enterobacterales; Enterobacteriaceae. The record is from RNAcentral.
AAUGCUGACAUAAGUAACGAUAAAGCGGGUGAAAAGCCCGCUCGCCGGAAGACCAAGGGUUCCUGUCCAACGUUAAUCGGGGCAGGGUGAGUCGACCCCUAAGGCGAGGCCGAAAGGCGUAGUCGAUGGGAAACAGGUUAAUAUUCCUGUACUUGGUGUUACUGCGAAGGGGGGACGGAGAAGGCUAUGUUGGCCGGGCGACGGUUGUCCCGGUUUAAGCGUGUAGGCUGGUUUUCCAGGCAAAUCCGGAAAAUCAAGGCUGAGGCGUGAUGACGAGGCACUACGGUGCUGAAGCAACAAAUGCCCUGCUUCCAGGAAAAGCCUCUAAGCAUCAGGUAACAUCAAAUCGUACCCCAAACCGACACAGGUGGUCAGGUAGAGAAUACCAAGGCGCUUGAGAGAACUCGGGUGAAGGAACUAGGCAAAAUGGUGCCGUAACUUCGGGAGAAGGCACGCUGAUAUGUAGGUGAAGUCCCUCGCGGAUGGAGCUGAAAUCAGUCGAAGAUACCAGCUGGCUGCAACUGUUUAUUAAAAACACAGCACUGUGCAAACACGAAAGUGGACGUAUACGGUGUGACGCCUGCCCGGUGCCGGAAGGUUAAUUGAUGGGGUUAGCGCA